Molecule: unclassified non-coding RNA, 234 nt
Filed under: plant metagenome
Description: partial contains small subunit ribosomal RNA, internal transcribed spacer 1, and 5.8S ribosomal RNA
Source: RNAcentral
UUUCCGUAGGUGAACCUGCGGAAGGAUCAUUACCGAGUGAGGGCCCUCUGGGUCCAACCUCCCACCCGUGUUUAUUGUACCUUGUUGCUUCGGUGAGCCCGCCUCACGGCCGCCGGGGGGCAUCUGCCCCCGGGCCCGCGCUCGCCGGAGACACCCUUGAACUCUGUCUGAAGUGUGCAGUCUGAGCGAAAACUAAAUAAGUUAAAACUUUCAACAACGGAUCUCUUGGUUCCG